UGGGGAAUAUUGCGCAAUGGGCGAAAGCCUGACGCAGCAACGCCGCGUGAGUGAUGAAGGCCUUCGGGUCGUAAAGCUCUGUCGGAGGGAACGAAUGCUCUUGAGGUUAACAGCCUCGGGAGGUGACGGUACCCUCAAAGGAAGCACCGGCUAACUCUGUGCCAGCAGCCGCGGUAAUACGUAGGUGGCAAGCGUUGUCCGGAUUUACUGGGCGUAAAGCGCGCGCAGGCGGACUGGUCAGUCCGGGGUGAAAUCUCACGGCUCAACCGUGAGGGGUCCCUGGAUAAUGCCAGCCUUGAGGGGCUCAGAGGAGAGUGGAAUUCCGGGUGUAGUGGUGGAAUGCGUAGAUAUCCGGAGGAACACCAGUGGCGAAAGCGGCUCUCUGGGGGCAACCUGACGCUGAGGCGCGAAAGCGUGGGGAGCGAACCGGAUUAGAUACCCCUGUAGUCCCUGAGCGGGCUGGCAAGGCGCAU
Molecule: ribosomal RNA, 473 nt
Filed under: uncultured bacterium
Lineage: Bacteria
Description: bacterial SSU rRNA
Rfam family: Bacterial small subunit ribosomal RNA
Source: RNAcentral